RNAcentral lists this ribosomal RNA (300 nucleotides) under uncultured Comamonadaceae bacterium. RNAcentral's name for it is "partial 16S ribosomal RNA". It matches the Rfam family "Bacterial small subunit ribosomal RNA", at positions 1 to 309 of the family's 1533-position model. Lineage: Bacteria; Pseudomonadati; Pseudomonadota; Betaproteobacteria; Burkholderiales; Comamonadaceae. The record is from RNAcentral.
ACUGGAGUUUGAUCCUGGCUCAGAUUGAACGCUGGCGGCAUGCUUUACACAUGCAAGUCGAACGGUAACAGGCCGCAAGGUGCUGACGAGUGGCGAACGGGUGAGUAAUGCAUCGGAACGUGCCCAGUCGUGGGGAUAACGCAGCGAAAGCUGCGCUAAUACCGCAUACGAUCUAAGGAUGAAAGCGGGGGUACCGAAAGGCCUCGCGCGAUUGGAGCGGCCGAUGUCAGAUUAGGUAGUUGGUGGGGUAAAGGCUCACCAAGCCAACGAUCUGUAGCUGGUCUGAGAGGACGACCAGCC